This 490-nucleotide ribosomal RNA is filed under the name uncultured bacterium. RNAcentral's name for it is "bacterial SSU rRNA". It matches the Rfam family "Bacterial small subunit ribosomal RNA", at positions 15 to 518 of the family's 1533-position model. The record is from RNAcentral.
GAUCAUGGCUCAGGAUUAACGCUGGCGGCGUGCCUAAUACAUGCAAGUCGAAUGGUAGUAGCAAUACAAACCAUGGCGAACGGGUGAGUAACACGUAGGUAACCUGUCUUUAAGACGAGGAUAACCGUUGGAAACGACGGAUAAUACUGGAUAGGACAUCACAAAGGGCAUCCUUAGAUGUUUAAAGAUUAUUAUGUCACUUAGAGAGGGGCCUGCGGCGCAUUAGCUAGUUGGUGAGGUAAGAGCCCACCAAGGCGAUGAUGCGUAGCCGGACUGAGAGGUUGAACGGCCACAAUGGAACUGAGAACGGUCCAUACUCCUACGGGAGGCAGCAGUAGGGAAUUUUCGGCAAUGGGCGCAAGCCUGAACCCGAGCAACGCCGCGUGAACGAAGAAGUUAUUCGUAAUGUAAAGUUCUUUUAUCUGGGAAGAAAAAACAAAUUGACGGUACCAGAUGAAUAAGCUCCGGCUAACUACGUGCCAGCAGCCGC